Molecule: long non-coding RNA, 757 nt
Organism: Melanotaenia boesemani (Boeseman's rainbowfish)
Lineage: Eukaryota; Metazoa; Chordata; Actinopteri; Atheriniformes; Melanotaeniidae
Exons: 2
Source: RefSeq, a predicted model, not a curated record
AACACAGUUUAAUGUGUUCUAAAAAUGGUGAGAGUGAAGAAGAUGGUCCCAAUAUGUUAGACUGUGUUAUUGUGCAGCUCAAAUGUUAACAUUUUCUAUGCAUACAUUACUUUCUUUUAAAAACUCAUGAGAUUGCAUGAAUUAGCUUUAUAAUCACCCUUUUUUUUCUCUUUCUCAGAGGUAACACACCUGAAACGAGAGGAACAGCUUACGUUGUAUACGAAGACAUCUUCGACGCCAAGAACGCCUGUGACCACCUGUCAGGCUUCAACGUCUGCAAUCGUUACCUGGUGGUUCUUUACUACAACGCUAACAGAGCUUUCCAGAAAAUGGACACAAAGAAAAAAGAAGAGCAGCUGAAGCUUUUGAAGGAGAAAUAUGGCAUCAACACAGACCCUCCCAAGUAGCUUCCACUUUGAUCUACAUCACCUUUGGUUUUUUCAUUUGUUAAAACUUUUCAUGUUGUUUGAUUUAUGCUUUUCAUAAUUUACCCAUUUGUUUGUUUGUUAAUACUACCCUGAUUUACAGUUUGAGGUCUUUAUAUUUUAGUUUUGUUCUGGUAAGAUGGCAGACAGGACAUGCUGACAGUGGCCGUCUUCACUCUGGCCAAUAUGGUUGUUUUUGUUUUGUAAUUUUUUGUUUUCAUAAACCUAAAUUUAAACUUAACCAUGCUUUACAGUGUUGAGAUGGGAAGCUGAAAUUGAUGUGUGCCCCCCCAUUUAAAGUAUAUAAUUUCUGUAAAAUAAAUGCUUUUUUU